This is a non-coding RNA of Caretta caretta (loggerhead turtle), 1667 nucleotides long. The record is from RefSeq and is a predicted model, not a curated record. Lineage: Eukaryota; Metazoa; Chordata; Testudines; Cheloniidae.
GGUGGGUAGGGGGCUUCUGCCGGAGACCAUCAGGAUCGUUGCAAUUACUAACCCCGCUCCUCUCCUUUGGCUGCGGCUCCUGCUGGGUGACAUGCAGUCCCUCAUUUCUCCUGUGACCAAGGCUAUUCUGGUAGCUUUGUUCAUCUUUGCCAUCCUCCUGAUCCUCUAUGUGAUUCUCUGGUAUAUCUGCCGAGAUGUGGAUUGCGACCACGGAAUCUGAGCUGGGAUGCUGGGCAACGGCUUAACAUAACAAGUGACAGACACACACAAGCCAAACCAAAAUCGAAGCCAGCCAAAAGAGCCCAGGGGAGAGAACCACAGUCGAGGCACAACCUGAGAUUGACCUUCAGAGAUCAGGGUGACCCGAUUUACCAAAAGAAAAAAAAUGUGCGCUGUAAAUUCUGAAUGGCAAAAGCACGUUACCCUGCGCAAGAGGAUCAAUGGCUAAGGGUUAAACACCGAGCAAACCCAGCAGUCUCCGAAUCUGUUGAUAAAGUGUGUAAUUGAAGACUCGAGCACUUUAUCCCACAAACCCGAACCAGAAGAUGCUUUCUCCAUCCCCUGAGUACACUUCAAAGCAGAUUUAUCUAGAACCUAAAUGCUAAUUAUUUAGGGAAAAGUGUGAGAACAGCCACCAGCAACACAUAAACACCACCCUAUACCGGAAACCUACUGGCCGCUAUUCCUACCUACAUGCCUCCAGCUUUCACCCUGACCACACCACACGAUCCAUUGUCUACAGCCAAGCUCUGCGAUACAACUGCAUUUGCUCCAACCCGUCAGAGAGAGACAAACACCUACAAGAUCUCUAUCAAGCAUUCUUACAACUACAAUACCCACCUGCUGAAGUGAAAAAACAAAUUGACAGAGCCAGAAGAGUACCCAGAAGUCACCUACUACAGGACAGGCCCAAAAAAGAAAAUAACAGAACACCAUUAGCCAUCACCUUCAGCCCCCAACUAAAACCUCUCCAGCGCAUCAUCAAGGAUCUACAACCUAUCCUGAAGGACGACCCAUCACUCUCACAAAUCUUGGGAGACAGGCCAGUCCUUGCCUACAGACAGCCCCCCAACCUGAAGCAAAUACUCACCAGCAACCACACACCACACAACAGAACCACUAACCCAGGAACCUAUCCUUGCAACAAAGCCCGUUGCCAACUGUGUCCACAUAUCUAUUCAGGGGACACCAUCACAGGGCCUAAUCACAUCAGCCACACUAUCAGAGGCUCGUUCACCUGCACAUCUACCAGUGUGAUAUAUGCCAUCAUGUGCCAGCAAUGCCCCUCUGCCAUGUACAUUGGUCAAACUGGACAGUCUCUACAUAAAAGAAUAAAUGGACACAAAUCAGAUGUCAAGAAUUAUAACAUUCAUAAACCAGUCGGAGAACACUUCAGUCUCUCUGCGUCAUUACACAAAGUAAAACUAUUUCCCCAUGUUUAUUUCUCCACCCCCACCCCCUACUGCUCCUGGGGCGUUUCUGUUAACUGCUGGAAAUGGCCCACCUUGAUUAUCACUACAAAAGGUUCCCCCCGGUAAUAGCUCAUCUUAAGUGAUCACUCUCCUUACAGUGUGUAUGAUAACACCCAUUUUUUCAUGUUCUGUGUGUAUAUAAAUCUCCUCACUGGUUUUUUCCACUGAAUGCAUCCGAUGAAAUGAGCUGUAGCU